UGGCCGCGGGCUGGCGGGGUCUGCGCCGCCUGGACACGGCGAGAGCUGCCUCCGCCCCCGGAUGGGCUGGGGAGGGUGGGCGGAGCCAUCUGGAGCCCGCGCGGGUCGUGCCCGCAGCCCGCCUCAGCACCGGCAGUCCCCGGCCGCAGAGCGAGACGCUCCCCCGGAGCUGCGGCUGCCAGGUCUGGGGUCCCGAGGCCCCUGGCAGACUAUGGGUACAACAGCAAGCACAGCACAGCAGACAGUCUCGGCUGGCACUUCCUUGGAGGGCCUGCAGGGCAGCAGCAACAGCAUGGAUGGCCAGCAUUCUCUCAGCGUGCAGUCCUUCCAUGCCACAAGUUUACACAACAGCAAGGCCAAGUCCAUCAUCCCUAACAAGGUGGCCCCUGUUGUGAUCACGUACAACUGCAAGGAGGAGUUCCAGAUCCACGAUGAGCUGCUCAAGGCCCAUUACAGGAUGGGCCGGCUCUCAGAUGCCACUCCCGAGCACUACCUGGUGCAGGGUCGUUAUUUCCUGGUGCGUGACGUCACCAAGAAGAUGGACACACUGGGCACCUUGGAGAGCUGUGGGGCUCACAACUUCCGGCAGGUGCGAGGCGGGCUUCCUGUGUUUGGCAUGGGACAGCCCAGCCUCUUGGGGUUCAGGAGAGUCCUGCAGAAACUCCAGAAGGAUGGGUUCAAGGAAUGCAUCAUCUUCUGUUUGCGGGAAGAGCCUGUGCUGUUCUUGCGUGCUGAAGAGGACUUUGUGUCCUACACACCUCGAGACAAGGAGAGCCUUCAUGAGAACCUCAGGGACCCUGGGCCAGGAGUGAAGGCUGAACAUCUGGAGCUGGCCAUCCGGAAAGAGAUCCAUGACUUUGCCCAACUGAGAGAGAACGUGUACCACGUGUACCACAACACGGAGGACCUGCGCGGGGAGCCGCACACCGUGGCCAUCCGAGGUGAGGAUGAUGUGCACGUGACCGAGGAGGUGUUUAAGCGGCCGCUGUUCCUGCAGCCCACCUACAGAUUCUACCGUCUCCCCUUGCCAGAGCAAGGGGCACCCCCGGAAGCCCAGUUUGAUGCCUUUGUCAGCGUUCUUCGGGAGACCCCCAGCCUUCUGCCGCUCAGAGAUAACCACGGGCCUCCCCCUGCCCUCUUGUUCAGCUGCCAGUCAGGUGUGGGUAGGACCAACCUGGGCAUGGUCCUGGGUACCCUCGUGAUGUUCCACCACAGUAGAACCACCCCCCAGCUAGAGACUGCCUCCCUGCUGACCAAACCCCUGCCCGUGGAGCAGUUUCAGGUGGUCCAGGGAUUCAUCUGCAAGGUGCCCCAGGGGAAGAAAAUGGUGGAGGAGGUGGAUCGAGCCAUCAGUGCCUGUGCAGAGUUGCAUGACCUGAAGGAAGAGGUUCUUAAGAACCAGAGGAAGCUGGAGGGCUUCAGGCCAGAGAGCCGGGAGCAGGAGUGUGGCAGUCAGCAUGCUGUCCAGCAGAGGGCGCUGUGGAGUCUGGAGCUGUACUUCUAUCUGAUCCUAUUUAACUACUAUCUGCAUGAACAGCACCCCCUGGCCUUUGCCCUCAGUUUCAGUCGAUGGCUGUGCACCCAUCCUGAGCUGUAUCGUCUGCUGGUGGCGCUGAAUUCAGUGGGGCCCUUGGUUCCCGGGGACCUCAUCGCCAAGGGCUCCCUGGAAGCAGAUGACCUGGUUUCCCUGGAUGCUCUCAGCACCAUCAGAGAGAUGGACGUAGCCAACUUCCGGCGUGUACCACGCAUGCCUAUUUAUGGCACCGCCCAGCCCAGUGCCAAGGCCCUAGGCAACAUCCUGGCCUACCUGUCUGACGCCAAGAGGAAGCUGCGCCAGGUGGUCUGGAUCAACCUGAGGGAGGAGGUUGUGUUGGAGUGUGAUGGUCACAUGCACAGCCUGUGGCCCCCGGGACCCGCGCUGGCCCCCGAGCAGCUGGAGGCUCUGGAGGCCCAGCUGAAGGCCCACCUGAGCGUCCCUGUCCUCAUCACCAAGAGCCCUGCCACCCCCAGGUUCCAGAAGUGCCUGACCACACAGGAGGUCUUCAGCCAGCACCAGGGGGCCAGCCUUGGCCUUACCUACUGCCGCAUUCCCGUGCCGGACUUCUGCGCCCCUCGGGAGGAGGACUUUGAGCGGCUGCUUGAGGCCAUGCGAGCUGCUCUCUCCAAGGACCCAGGCACAGGCUUUGUCUUCAGCUGCCUCAACGGCCAGGGCCGGACCACAACGGCCAUGGUGGUGGCCGUGCUGGCCUGCUGGCACAUUGGGGGCUGUCCCGAGGUGGGUGAGGAGGAGCUAGUGAGUGUGCCGGAUGCCAAAUUCACCAAGGGCGAGUUUCAGGUGGUGAUGAAGGUGGUACAGCUGCUCCCCGAUGGCCACCACGUGAAGAAGGAGGUGGAUGCGGCGCUGGACACCGUCAGCGAGACCAUGACACCAAUGCACUACCACCUUCGGGAGAUCAUCAUCUCCACCUACCGACAGGCAAAGGCCACCAAAGAGACACAGGAGGCUCAGAGGUUGCACCUGCGGAGCCUGCAAUACCUGGAGCGCUACAUCUACCUGAUCCUCUUUAACGCCUACCUUCGCCUGGAGAAGGCCAGCUCCUGGCAGAGGCCUUUCAGCACCUGGAUGCAGGAGGUGGCAACCAGAGCUGGCAUCUACGAGAUCCUCAACCAGCUGGGCUUCCCCGAGCUGGAGAACAUGGACGACCAGCCCCUGUCACGGCUCCGCUACCGCUGGCAGGAGCAAAGUCGAGACCCGGAGCCCUGCGACCUUGGGGACUUCCUGUAGGCCCCCUUGCUCUUGCUAGGCAGGCUGGGGAGGGGGGACCUGAGGGUCUCAUUGCUUCUGAUGGACACUUGUCAGCUUCCUGGUUAGACUUGAGGGGCUGAGAACUUUCGGAAAGAGGGGUUUUUUUUGGUAAUCCUACCAAUAUAUACAUUGAAUAUAUGGACAGCACUGCCAUUUUCUGUCAACCCUUGGGGUGCGUAAUGUCUUCUGGUAAGGCCCAGUGCGUGUGCCUCACAGACCAGCUGGCAAACAACCUUCAGGGAGCUCACUCCCCAAGCAGCCAGUCACCACCUCUGUCCCCCCUUCACCGUUGGUCAUCAGACUGCCUGGGCGGGCAGCAGGCUGGCCAUGUUUGCCUUUUCACUUCCUUCCUCUGACUGGCUUGCUCCUGCCUCUGCCUCUGCCUUUCAGCCCAAGCAGCUACCUGAGGAGGAUGGCGAGCCAGGCAGGUCUGUGUUGAGGCAGCUCUGCCCAGCUCCUUCUGGCUCUCAGUGUCGCAGGCCUGGAAGACUGAGGGGAUGACUCCCCUUUUCUCCUACCCGUCUUUCCCCAGUUCCUCCCCUAAGCUGUCAGAUGAGCCCAGGGAGUUGGAAACAUCAGGGAGGCCCUCCCAGUGUGGGGAAAGAACUCACAGAGGCCAUGGAGAUGGUGAAGAGCCUCUUGGUGGGUUGGAAGCCUGUUAACAGGAUCGAGGUGACUCUUGGGAGAGACUCUGUGGACACAGGACCUGGUGGCUUGUCAGGCCUUAGAAUCCAGGCCGACCCCUGCCAGGAUCCCUGGGCUGCUUUCGCUGGGUCACACUGAGAUGACACUGAGGGACGAACUUUGUUCACAUAGUGGGAAGAGGGGCAGAGAGGGCUGUGCUUGGUGAGUCUCAGCUGGGACUGAAGUUUGCCACAACUAGUGGUUGAACUCCUGAGUCUGGGCGCCUGGCUACCUGUCUUAACUUCUUGAAGGAGAGUGAUGAAUCUCUGGGUGCCCGUCCUUCAUGGAGGAUGUCAGCUGUUAGCUGUGCUAUUUGAAGAUGUCAAAGUUGUUUCCAGCCUGAUGAAGUGGAGACCCUCUUAGCUGAAUUCUUUUGCAAGCUGCUGUAUGUCUGUCCACAGCCUCUCAGGUUUGCUGGUGUCUGUUUUGUGCAAGUCAGCUCUGUUCAGAAAAAGCCUACCCAAGGAGUCGGAGGCCAGAGAGACCCUUCACAGUUUUGUGGUUGACACUGACUUGGAGAUAUGCUGGGACCAGUGGCAGGUCACUGUACCCCUCUGCCUCAGUUUCCCUGUUUGUAAAAUUGGAGAAUAAUACUUGCCUACCUACCUCACAGGGGUGUUGUGAGGAAUCCUUUAUGGUUUUCUGUUUUUGUUUUUUGUUUUUGUACAGAGCUUUUGAGCAUUAAAAACAGUACAAACGUGUAA
This is an RNA transcript of Apodemus sylvaticus (European woodmouse), 4194 nucleotides long. It is a transcript of the gene named paladin, with no coding region annotated. NCBI's taxonomy places the organism in Eukaryota, Metazoa, Chordata, Mammalia, Rodentia, Muridae. The record is from RefSeq and is a predicted model, not a curated record. The transcript has 21 exons.